This is an RNA transcript of Quercus robur (English oak), 1133 nucleotides long. It is a transcript of the gene named importin beta-like SAD2, with no coding region annotated. NCBI's taxonomy places the organism in Eukaryota, Viridiplantae, Streptophyta, Magnoliopsida, Fagales, Fagaceae. The record is from RefSeq and is a predicted model, not a curated record. The transcript has 3 exons.
CUCUUUUCUUUGUGUGCAGAGUUUUUUUUCUAUAUGUAUUGGCGGAGAGAGAGAGAGAACAGAAAAAGCAAAACCCACAAAGGGAUUCUGAGAUUGACAGAUUGAGAGAGAGUUCUGAGUGGUUUAAAAGAGAGUGAGAAUUGUGAAGAUGUCUGCAACGGUAGGAGGUGGCGGUACUGGUGUUGGUACAGGAGGACAAGAGGAAGACAAGAAACCUAUGGAUCAGUCUGCACACAUUAAUCUCAAAGUCAAAGGCCAGGAUGGCAAUGAGGUGUUCUUUAGGAUCAAACGAAGCACCCAGCUUCGGAAACUCAUGACUGCAUACUGUGAACGUCAGUCUGUGGAGUUCAACUCCUUUGCAUUCUUGGAGGUGCAUGAACACAGCUGAAGCUGAAGAUGAAGCUGAUGAUCCUGGUGCUUUGGCUGCAGUUGGCUGUUUGCGUGCCAUUAGCACAAUUCUUGAAUCAGUGAGCAGGCUUCCUCAACUUUUUGUCCAAGUUGAACCAACAUUGGUCCCUAUAAUGCAUAGAAUGUUAACAAGUGAUAGCCAAGGGCAAGUGUUUUGAGGCAAACAUCAAUCACAAUGCAGCAGAAAAUGUCAAUUUAGAACUACAAAAUUAGGAAAAUCUGAAUGUGGGGGACAACAUGAAAUGCUAUUAGACUUACUACACCAAAAGUUUAGCAGUUCAAGCUUACCAGGUAUUCUAACUAUUAGGCUUUGUUCCAUUCCUGGAAGACCUGAUACUUGGGAUGCAUAGUUAGCUUGGGCAAUAGGAGUUCUAUAAGGCAGAAAAGCUUUAUUGUUAUCAUUUUUGAAGUUUCUGGGAUUGCUCUUAUAUAUCCAACUUGGAUGGAGAAAACUCUCAAUGGCAUGAGAACAACUUAAAGAUGAAAAAACUACAUUCAAUAUUAUUGUCGUAAAGGUUAGAUGGACUGGCAUCAAGCUGGCAUAUUGUGAAUUCUGUCAGAAACAAAGGUUGUGUUCUUUUUGAAUAUCCCUAUGACUGUAUUUGAUUCUAAUUCUUAACCUUUGUAUUUUUCUAUCUUCUGUUUGCUUUUGAUGAUAUGUUGUCCUGUAAUCUAUAGUGUUUUAUCCUUAUUGUGGAUUGGGCUCUUUGUAUUGUUUUGGUUCU